CGGGGUGCACCAGGCGCGAAAACUCUACAAUGCAGGCAACUGCGAUAGGGGGACAUCGAGUGGCAUCCACCUUGGGUGCCUGUCCAACCGUCUAAAAAACGGUUGUUAGCAAGGGCCGGGUAAGACCGGUGCCAGCCGCCGCGGUAAUACCGGCGGCUCGAGUGGUGGCCGAUAUUAUUGAGUCUAAAGGGUCCGUAGCCGGCUUUGCAAGUCCCCUGGGAAAUCCAGCGGCUUAACCGUUGGGCUUUCAUGGGAUACUACAUUGCUUGGGACUGGGAGAGGUAGGAGGUACUCGGGGGGUAGGGGUGAAAUCCUGUAAUCCUCCGGGGACCACCGGUGGCGAAGGCGUCCUACCAGAACAGGUCCGACGGUGAGGGACGAAAGCUAGGGGCACGAACCGGAUUAGAUACCCGGGUAGUCCUAGCCGUAAACGAUGCCCGCUAGGUGUCACGACGGUCGUGAAUCGUCGUGGUGCCGUAGGGAAGCCGCGAAGCGGGCCACUUGGGAAGUACGGCCGCAAGGCUGAAACUUAAAGGAAUUGGCGGGGGAGCACAAGGGCGAUUCGCG
Molecule: ribosomal RNA, 567 nt
Filed under: uncultured archaeon
Lineage: Archaea
Description: bacterial SSU rRNA
Rfam family: Archaeal small subunit ribosomal RNA
Source: RNAcentral